RNAcentral lists this long non-coding RNA (1194 nucleotides) under Monodelphis domestica (gray short-tailed opossum). RNAcentral describes it as "lncRNA (ENSMODG00000041968.1)". The record is from RNAcentral. Lineage: Eukaryota; Metazoa; Chordata; Mammalia; Didelphimorphia; Didelphidae.
CUGCAAACAAAGUGUACAAUGCCUUAAAGUACUUGAACAGAGAAAGUAACCAAGAUGUCAACUUGCCAGCUUUGACAUGGUGACCUGUAACAUGAUGUGCACUAUAGCCUCAUCAUAUUUGUUGGGCCAGGCAAUGCCCAAACAUGUGGAAACUCAGGGUAUUUGAGCUUCGAAAGCCUUUUCCUGCCCUAAAAGGGAAUUCAAAAGGUCUUUUGGAGGGGGAGGAAAUCACACGGCGUUUAUUCUGCAGGGUAACCCGGCAUUCCCAAGACCCAAGCGCCAUGAUGCUCCAGGCCUGCCUCUCCAUUCACCAAGAUGUCUCACUGCCUCUGGCUUUAUGGUUGGCGGCCACGCCACGAGCUCAUUUCGAAUCCUUCUCAAAAGCCAUCAAGUGCUAAAAUUGCAGCAUCUCUUUCAUGAACUGUCUGUGUCCCAGCUUAUCCAAUGGCACGAGCCACUGAACCCACUAAAGGAAUAAGAGUUUGCUCAUCUCAUCAUAGCCGGCAUCCCCAACCUCAAAGGCUUGAACAAAUAUAAAUGUCCCAGGCUGCAGUUUAUUACCGACGGUGCACAUAAUUCAAUAGGCAGUGUGUCAGUUGUGGAAAAGAUCACCUCAAGUCUCAGCAAAGCAGCUAAGUCUGUUUUAUUUACUCUUUCAUUUUAAAACAUUCUUCCGUGGUUACCUGAUUCAUGUUAGCCCCCUUCUCUCUUCCCUCCCCACUCCUGGAGCUGACAAGCCAUUGCACUGGGUUAGACAUCGGUUAUGGCCUGAUACCUAUUUCCAUAUUAUUCAUUUUUGUAAUAAUCUGUUGAAACCCAAAUCAUAUUCCCAUAGAAACAAGUGAUGAAUCAUAUGCUUUUGUUCUGCUUUUCUACUCCCACAGUUCUUCCCCUCUUUCUCAUACAACCCUCAGGAUUGUCAUCAGUUACAUUUGAUUGUUCCACAGUGUUUUACUUUCUGUGUACAAUGUUCUCUUGGUUCCGUUCAUUUCUGCUCAUUCCACAUCAAUUCAUGAAGGGAGGUUUUUCCGGAUCAUAUAGAAAUCCUCCAUUUCACCAUUCCUUAUAGCACAAUAGUAUUCUAUCAUCAUCAUAUACUACAAUGUGUUCAGCCAUGCCCCAAUCAAGGGGCCCCCCUCAUUUUCCAAUUUUUUUCCAUCACAAAGAACGCAGCUACGAAUAUUUUUACACAAC